Molecule: ribosomal RNA, 396 nt
Filed under: uncultured bacterium
Lineage: Bacteria
Description: partial 16S ribosomal RNA
Rfam family: Bacterial small subunit ribosomal RNA
Source: RNAcentral
AAUAUUGGACAAUGGGGGCAACCCUGAUCCAGCCAUGCCGCGUGAGUGAUGAAGGCCCNAGGGUUNUNAAGCUCUUUCCUUGGGGNCGAUAAUGACGGUACCCACACAAGAAGCCCUGGCUUACUUCGUGCCAGCAGCCGCGGGAAUACGAAGGGGGCUAGCGUUGUUCGGAUUUACUGGGCGUAAAGGGCACGUAGGCGGAUUGGUCAGUUAAGAGUGAAAUCCCGGAGCUCAACUCCGGAACUGCCUUUAAUACUGCCAGUCUUGAGUCCGAGAGAGGUGAGUGGAACUCCUAGUGUAGAGGUGGAAUUCGUAGAUAUUAGGAAGAACACCAGGGGCGAAGGCGGCUCACUGGCUCGGUACUGACGCUGAGGUGCGAAAGCGUGGGGAGCAAAC